Molecule: non-coding RNA, 381 nt
Organism: Nylanderia fulva
Lineage: Eukaryota; Metazoa; Arthropoda; Insecta; Hymenoptera; Formicidae
Source: RefSeq, a predicted model, not a curated record
ACUUACUACUAUAAACACUAUACAGCUUUCACUACACGUAUAUACACAGUCUGUCUAGACUCAACGUGUGUAAGUCAGCUGUUAUCUCGCGCUAUUACUGCAAGCCGCGUACAGAUAGCAGUACACAAUGCGCGCAAGUGUAGGUAUGUACCAGCCCGGUCAUACGCGCAAUAGACGUUUUUGGCGCUUUCGUUUUCGUAGCAGUCGUCCUGGUCGUCCAGUUGCGUCGCGUCGUUGUCUUGUGCGAAUCGUGUUGAGUCGUGCUCGUGUCUCGUGUCGAUCAGUCGGAUCAGAUGUGCAGCAAAGAUGCAGAGAUCAUCGCACGCUACAAGAAGAAGUAGAGGAUCGACUAAUAAUGCAUCGCCGAGAAACGACGCGGCC